AGUGAACGCUGGCGGUAGGCCUAACACAUGCAAGUCGAACGGCAGCACAGCAAGAGCUUGCUCUUACGGGUGGCGAGUGGCGGACGGGUGAGGAAUACAUCGGAAUCUACUUUUUCGUGGGGGAUAACGUAGGGAAACUUACGCUAAUACCGCAUACGACCUACGGGUGAAAGCAGGGGAUCUUCGGACCUUGCGCGAUUGAAUGAGCCGAUGUCGGAUUAGCUAGUUGGCGGGGUAAAGGCCCACCAAGGCGACGAUCCGUAGCUGGUCUGAGAGGAUGAUCAGCCACACUGGAACUGAGACACGGUCCAGACUCCUACGGGAGGCAGCAGUGGGGAAUAUUGGACAAUGGGCGCAAGCCUGAUCCAGCCAUACCGCGUGGGUGAAGAAGGCCUUCGGGUUGUAAAGCCCUUUUGUUGGGAAAGAAAAGCAGCAGGUUAAUACCCCGCUGUUCCGACGGUACCCAAAGAAUAAGCACCGGCUAACUUCGUG
This 492-nucleotide ribosomal RNA is filed under the name uncultured bacterium. Its description in RNAcentral is "partial 16S ribosomal RNA". It matches the Rfam family "Bacterial small subunit ribosomal RNA", at positions 29 to 507 of the family's 1533-position model. The record is from RNAcentral.